CCUACGGGAGGCAGCAGUGGGGAAUAUUGCACAAUGGGCGAAAGCCUGAUGCAGCAACGCCGCGUGAGCGAUGAAGCCCUUCGGGGUGUAAAGCUCUUUCGGCAGGAACGAUAAUGACGGUACCUGCGGAAGAAGCUGCGGCUAACUACGUGCCAGCAGCCGCGGUAAU
This 169-nucleotide ribosomal RNA is filed under the name uncultured Clostridium sp. Its description in RNAcentral is "partial 16S ribosomal RNA". It matches the Rfam family "Bacterial small subunit ribosomal RNA", at positions 338 to 524 of the family's 1533-position model. The record is from RNAcentral. Lineage: Bacteria; Bacillati; Bacillota; Clostridia; Eubacteriales; Clostridiaceae.